ACUGUUCCCUCGCCUCCUCCGAACGAAGCUUCACCAGGGACUGUCUUGGGCUCUCCUGGGAGAGGACUUCUUGGCUCAAGCAAACAGGGCCCCGGAAAGCCCGGCCCACGUUCCCCAGCCGGCUCCAAACCCGGGGCGCAGCGCAGCCGCAGGGGGGGAGCCGCCUCUGCCCACCGCUCCCCGGCCGGUGGAGCAGGCGCCUUCGUCCCACACUGCGGAGGCCGAGAGACGCGCGUGGCCUCUCUCCGAAAAUGCCGCAGACCUCACGCAACACAUCUGCGAACUCACCUGCGAGUCGGCCCCGUUUUCCGUCCAGUCCUGUUUCUCAAAGAUCCCACUCGUGUUACCUGAUUAAGCAAGCCAUAGCAUGAGCACAGAAUCCAGGAGAGAGGUUUUUGCCCUUGAACGGGCUAUUCCUGAACCUUCACCCAACUUUCCAGAUCCCACAGAGCACCUUACAGGAAGCACAGUGGUCACCUGUGGCAGAGAAUGAGACCCAUGCUCGCCAGACUCAAGAAGACUGAAUGAUGAAGAAAAGUGUUUGGACAAAGUAGGACUCGUCUCUACACCUGAGACAACGCAUAGCGAAAAAACUCAAAGAUGUUCUUCUACCUAGACAUCUCCUCCUCUGAUAACCAUCUGGCUUAAACAUAAUAUGACACCGGGGGCAGAACCUGGAGAGCUUCAAGGUCUGUCUUUAGGAGGAUCCUUGUCCACGUACAUGCUGUCUCACCCAUGCUACAAAGUGGGUUAACACAGGCUAUAAACUCACUAUCCAAAGUCACAGAGACUAUAAUGCAUGUAUAUUCCUUCCAACUGUGACUGGUUCUCUCUCUCCCUGCCUCUUAAUCUC
Acinonyx jubatus (cheetah) is the source of this 853-nucleotide long non-coding RNA. RefSeq lists it as uncharacterized. The transcript is spliced from 3 exons. Lineage: Eukaryota; Metazoa; Chordata; Mammalia; Carnivora; Felidae. The record is from RefSeq and is a predicted model, not a curated record.